RNAcentral lists this ribosomal RNA (482 nucleotides) under uncultured Polaromonas sp. RNAcentral's name for it is "bacterial SSU rRNA". It matches the Rfam family "Bacterial small subunit ribosomal RNA", at positions 901 to 1382 of the family's 1533-position model. Lineage: Bacteria; Pseudomonadati; Pseudomonadota; Betaproteobacteria; Burkholderiales; Comamonadaceae. The record is from RNAcentral.
UUAAAGGAAGUUGACGGGGACCCGCACGAAGCGGUGGAUGAUGUGGUUUAAUUCGAUGCAACGCGAAAACCUUACCUACCUUUGACAUGUACGGAAUUCGCCAGAGAUGGCUUAGUGCUCGAAAGAGAACCGUAACACAGGUGCUGCAUGGCUGUCGUCAGCUCGUGUCGUGAGAUGUUGGGUUAAGUCCCGCAACGAGCGCAACCCUUGUCAUUAGUUGCUACAUUUAGUUGGGCACUCUAAUGAGACUGCCGGUGACAAACCGGAGGAAGGUGGGGAUGACGUCAAGUCCUCAUGGCCCUUAUAGGUAGGGCUACACACGUCAUACAAUGGAUGGUACAAAGGGUCGCCAACCCGCGAGGGGGAGCCAAUCCCAUAAAACCAUUCGUAGUCCGGAUCGCAGUCUGCAACUCGACUGCGUGAAGUCGGAAUCGCUAGUAAUCGUGGAUCAGCAUGCUACGGUGAAUACGUUCCCGGGCCUU